GGAGUCGGCCGGACAGUCGCUCUUCCCGCUCGCGGGGAGGGAGGAAAGUCCGGGCUCCAGAGGGCAGGGUGCCAGGUAACGCCUGGGGGGCGCGAGCCCACGGAAAGUGCCACAGAAAAUAUACCGCCAGUCUUUGUCCGGUUACGGCCGGAACAGGAAAGGUAAGGGUGAAAUGGUGCGGUAAGAGCGCACCGCGCCGGUGGCAACAUCGGCGGCAGGGUAAACCCCACCCGGAGCAAGACCAAAUAGGGGGGCGGGCAGUCCUUGACUGCCGUGCGCGGCCCGCGCGUGCCCCCGGGUAGGUCGCUCGAGGCGCAUGGCGACAUGCGUCCCAGAUGAAUGACUGUCCGCGACAGAACCCGGCUUACAGGCCGACUCCCCAC
RNAcentral lists this RNase P RNA (383 nucleotides) under Candidatus Thiodictyon syntrophicum str. Cad16. RNAcentral describes it as "RNase P RNA component class A". It matches the Rfam family "Bacterial RNase P class A". Rfam says of the family: Ribonuclease P (RNase P) is a ubiquitous endoribonuclease, found in archaea, bacteria and eukarya as well as chloroplasts and mitochondria. Its best characterised activity is the generation of mature 5'-ends of tRNAs by cleaving the 5'-leader elements of precursor-tRNAs. RNAcentral also lists the same sequence under 1 other name. Lineage: Bacteria; Pseudomonadati; Pseudomonadota; Gammaproteobacteria; Chromatiales; Chromatiaceae. The record is from RNAcentral.